CCUACGGGAGGCAGCAGUAAGGAAUAUUGGUCAAUGGGCGCAAGCCUGAACCAGCCAUGCCGCGUGCAGGAAGACGGCCCUAUGGGUUGUAAACUGCUUUUGAACAAGAGAAAACCUCGGUACGUGUACCGAGCUGAUAGUAUUGUUAGAAUAAGCAUCGGCUAACUUCGUGCCAGCAGCCGCGGUAAGACGAAGGAUGCAAGCGUUAUCCGGAUUCAUUGGGUUUAAAGGGUGCGUAGGCGGCCUGAUAAGUCAGUGGUGAAAUCUCUCAGCUUAACUGAGAAACUGCCAUUGAUACUGUCGGGCUUGAGUACAGAUGAUGUGGGCGGAAUAUGACAUGUAGUGGUGAAAUACUUAGAUAUGUCAUAGAACACCGAUUGCGAAGGCAGCUCACAAAACUGUAAACUGACGCUGAGGCACGAAAGUGCGGGGAUCGAAACAGGAUUAGAUACCCUGGUAGUCCGCACCGUAAACGAUGAUUACUCGUUGUUGGCAUAUGACCGUCAGCGACCAAGCGAAAGCGANAAGUAAUCACCUGGGGAGUCGCGGCACGGUGAACUUAAGGAAUUGACGGNGNGAGAGNGCGAGGNGACACGAGGGAGAG
Molecule: ribosomal RNA, 604 nt
Filed under: uncultured bacterium
Lineage: Bacteria
Description: bacterial SSU rRNA
Rfam family: Bacterial small subunit ribosomal RNA
Source: RNAcentral